RNAcentral lists this ribosomal RNA (253 nucleotides) under uncultured bacterium. Its description in RNAcentral is "partial 16S ribosomal RNA". It matches the Rfam family "Bacterial small subunit ribosomal RNA", at positions 524 to 776 of the family's 1533-position model. The record is from RNAcentral.
UACGGGGGGGGCAAGCGUUGUUCGGAAUUACUGGGCGUAAAGGGCUCGUAGGCGGCCAACUAAGUCAGACGUGAAAUCCCUCGGCUUAACCGGGGAACUGCGUCUGAUACUGGAUGGCUUGAAUCCGGGAGAGGGAUGCGGAAUUCCAGGUGUAGCGGUGAAAUGCGUAGAUAUCUGGAGGAACACCGGUGGCGAAGGCGGCGCUCUGGGCCGGUACUGACGCUGAGGAGCGAAAGCGUGGGGAGCAAACAGG